RNAcentral lists this ribosomal RNA (586 nucleotides) under uncultured bacterium. RNAcentral's name for it is "bacterial SSU rRNA". It matches the Rfam family "Bacterial small subunit ribosomal RNA", at positions 102 to 686 of the family's 1533-position model. The record is from RNAcentral.
ACGGGUGAGUAACGCGUAGGAAUCUGCCUUUUAGUGGAGAAUACUCUCGAGAAAUCGAGCUUAAUACUGCAUACGUCUUGAAAAAGAGAAAGAUGGCCUCUUUGCUGUCGCUAAAAGAUGAGCCUGCGUACUAUUAGCUAGUUGGUAGGGUAAAGGCCUACCAAGGCGAUGAUGGUUAGCCGGCCUGAGAGGGUGUACGGCCACACUGGAACUUAGACACGGUCCAGACUCCUACGGGAGGCAGCAGUGAGGAAUAUUGCGCAAUGGGCGAAAGCCUGACGCAGCGACGCCGCGUGGAGGAUGAAGGUCUUAGGAUUGUAAACUUCUGUUAAGCGGGAAGAAAGAUAGGGUUUAAAUACAGCUCUAUUAUGACGGUACCGCUAGAGAAAGCACCGGCUAACUUCGUGCCAGCAGCCGCGGUAAUACGAAGGGUGCGAGCGUUAUUCGGAAUUAUUGGGCGUAAAGGGUGCGUAGGCGGCGUGUUAAGUCAACUGUUAAAGACCUCGGCCUAACUGGGGAUCGGCGGUAGAUACUGGCAUGCUAGAGGGUGGAAGAGAGAAGUGGAAUUCUUGGAGUAGCGGUAAAA